UCAACGGAGAGUUUGAUCCUGGCUCAGGACGAACGCUGGCGGCGUGCUUAACACAUGCAAGUCGAACGAUGAAGCCCAGCUUGCUGGGUGGAUUAGUGGCGAACGGGUGAGUAACACGUGGGUGAUCUGCCCUGCACUCUGGGAUAAGCCUGGGAAACUGGGUCUAAUACCGGAUAUGACCUCUUGCUGCAUGGCGAGGGGUGGAAAGUUUUUCGGUGCAGGAUGAGCCCGCGGCCUAUCAGCUUGUUGGUGGGGUAAUGGCCUACCAAGGCGACGACGGGUAGCCGGCCUGAGAGGGCGACCGGCCACACUGGGACUGAGACACGGCCCAGACUCCUACGGGAGGCAGCAGUGGGGAAUAUUGCACAAUGGGCGCAAGCCUGAUGCAGCGACGCCGCGUGAGGGAUGACGGCCUUCGGGUUGUAAACCUCUUUCAGCAGGGACGAAGCGAAAGUGACGGUACCUGCAGAAGAAGCACCGGCCAACUA
RNAcentral lists this ribosomal RNA (488 nucleotides) under Rhodococcus rhodochrous. RNAcentral describes it as "bacterial SSU rRNA". It matches the Rfam family "Bacterial small subunit ribosomal RNA", at positions 1 to 503 of the family's 1533-position model. The record is from RNAcentral. Lineage: Bacteria; Bacillati; Actinomycetota; Actinomycetes; Mycobacteriales; Nocardiaceae.